AUACGUAGGGGGCGAGCGUUGUCCGGAAUGAUUGGGCGUAAAGGGCGCGUAGGCGGCCUGUUAAGUCUGGAGUGAAAGUCCUGUUUUCAAGAUGGGAAUUGCUUUGGAUACUGAUGGGCUUGAGUGCAGGAGAGGUUAUCGGAAUUCCCGGUGUAGCGGUGAAAUGCGUAGAGAUCGGGAGGAACACCAGUGGCGAAGGCGGGUAACUGGACUGCAACUGACGCUGAGGCGCGAAAGUGUGGGGAGCAAACAGGAUUAGAUACCCUGGUAGUCCACACUGUAAACGAUGAAUGCUAGGUGUAGGAGGUAUCGACCCCUUCUGUGCCGCAGUAAACACAGUAAGCAUUCCGCCUGGGGAGUACGGUCGCAAGAUUAAAACUCAAAUGAAUUGACGGGC
This 397-nucleotide ribosomal RNA is filed under the name uncultured bacterium. RNAcentral's name for it is "partial 16S ribosomal RNA". It matches the Rfam family "Bacterial small subunit ribosomal RNA", at positions 523 to 918 of the family's 1533-position model. The record is from RNAcentral.